GGGAAUUUAGCUGAGCGGCAUAAGCGCCUGCUUUGUAAGCAGGUAGUUAUGAGUUUGAUCCCUCGUACCG
Molecule: transfer RNA, 70 nt
Organism: Cavia porcellus (domestic guinea pig)
Lineage: Eukaryota; Metazoa; Chordata; Mammalia; Rodentia; Caviidae
Rfam family: tRNA
About the family: Transfer RNA (tRNA) molecules are approximately 80 nucleotides in length. Their secondary structure includes four short double-helical elements and three loops (D, anti-codon, and T loops).
Source: Rfam